GACGAACGCUGGCGGCGUGCUUAACACAUGCAAGUCGACCGGCAGGACCUUAUUUUGUUGGGUGGCCGGGUGGCGAAUGGGGGAGGAACACGGGAGAAACCCGACCCUUGUUUUUGGGUAACGUUAGGGAAAGGGGGGUUACUCCCGGAUAGAAGUCCUUCUUCCGGGUUGGGGGUGGGAAGUUUUGGGCGGUCGUGGUUGGAUUCGCGGCUUAUCGGCUUGUUGGUGGGGGAGUGGCUUACCAAGCAUUUGACGGGUCGCCGGCCUGGGGGGGUGACCGGCCACAUUGGGACUGAGAUACGGCCCAGACUCCUACGGGAGGCAGCAGUGGGGAAUAUUGCACAAUGGGCGGAAGCCUGAUGCAGCAACGCCGCGUGCGUGAUGACGGCCUGCGGGUUGUAAACCGCUUUCGCCUGUGACGAAGCGUGAGUGACGGUAAUGGGUAAAGAAGCACCGGCUAACUACGUG
RNAcentral lists this ribosomal RNA (468 nucleotides) under uncultured bacterium. RNAcentral describes it as "partial 16S ribosomal RNA". It matches the Rfam family "Bacterial small subunit ribosomal RNA", at positions 28 to 507 of the family's 1533-position model. The record is from RNAcentral.